GUUCCAGACUCCUACGGGAGGCAGCAGUGGGGAAUAUUGCACAAUGGGGGAAACCCUGAUGCAGCGACGCCGCGUGAGUGAAGAAGCGCCUCGGCGCGUAAAUCUCUGUCAGCAGGAACGACGAUGACGGUACCUGAAGAAGAAGCCCCGGCUAACUACGUGCCAGCAGCCGCGGUAAUACGUAGGGGGCGAGCGUUAUCCGGAUUUACUGGGUGUAAAGGGAGCGUAGACGGCGUCGCAAGUCUGAAGUGAAAGCCCGUGGCUCAACCGCGGAACCGCUUUGGAAACUGCGAGGCUGGAGUGCUGGAGAGGUAAGCGGAAUUCCUGGUGUAGCGGUGAAAUGCGUAGAUAUUAGGAGGAACACCAGUGGCGAAGGCGGCUUACUGGACUGUAACUGACGUUGAGGCUCGAAAGCGUGGGGAGCAAACAGGAUUAGAUACCCUCGUAGUA
This 450-nucleotide ribosomal RNA is filed under the name uncultured bacterium. RNAcentral describes it as "bacterial SSU rRNA". It matches the Rfam family "Bacterial small subunit ribosomal RNA", at positions 328 to 795 of the family's 1533-position model. The record is from RNAcentral.